AAUGAACGCUGGCGGCAUGCCUAACACAUGCAAGUCGAACGAAGGCUUCGGCCUUAGUGGCGCACGGGUGCGUAACGCGUGGGAAUCUGCCCUUGGGUUCGGAAUAACAGUUAGAAAUGACUGCUAAUACCGGAUGAUGUCGUAAGACCAAAGAUUUAUCGCCCAAGGAUGAGCCCGCGUAGGAUUAGCUAGUUGGUGGGGUAAAGGCCUACCAAGGCGACGAUCCUUAGCUGGUCUGAGAGGAUGAUCAGCCACACUGGGACUGAGACACGGCCCAGACUCCUACGGGAGGCAGCAGUGGGGAAUAUUGGACAAUGGGCGAAAGCCUGAUACAGCAAUGCCGCGUGAGUGAUGAAGGCCUUAGGGUUGUAAAGCUCUUUUAACCGGGAUGAUAAUGACAGUACCGGGAGAAUAAGCGCCGGCUAACUUCGUG
This 433-nucleotide ribosomal RNA is filed under the name uncultured bacterium. RNAcentral's name for it is "partial 16S ribosomal RNA". It matches the Rfam family "Bacterial small subunit ribosomal RNA", at positions 29 to 507 of the family's 1533-position model. The record is from RNAcentral.